AGCAGCCGCGGUAAUUCCAGCUCCAAUAGCGUAUAUUAAAGUUGCUGCAGUUAAAAAGCUCGUAGUUGAAUUUCGGGAUCAAUAUGUUGGUCGUGCCUCGGUACGUACUAGCUUAUUGGUUUCUCCCUUCUGACGAACCAUGAUGUCAUUUAUUUGGUGUUAUGGGAAAUCAGGACUGUUACUUUGAAAAAUUAGAGUGUUUAAAGCAGGCUCACGCUUGAAUACAUUAGCAUGGAAUAAUGAAAUAGGACGUUUGAUUCUAUUUUGUUGGUUUCUAGGAUCGACGUAAUGAUUAAUAGGGAUAGUUGGGGGCAUUAGUAUUCAAUUGUCAGAGGUGAAAUUCUUGGAUUUAUUGAAGACUAACUACUGCGAAAGCAUUUGCCAAGGAUGUUUUCAUUAAUCAAGAACGAAAGUUAGGGGAUCGAAGACGAUCAGAUACCGUCGUAGUCUUAACCAUAAACUAUGCCGACUAGGGAUCGGAUGAUGUUAAUUUUUAAUGA
RNAcentral lists this small RNA (500 nucleotides) under uncultured Glomus. RNAcentral's name for it is "SSU rRNA". It matches the Rfam family "Eukaryotic small subunit ribosomal RNA", at positions 569 to 1074 of the family's 1831-position model. Lineage: Eukaryota; Fungi; Glomeromycota; Glomeromycetes; Glomerales; Glomeraceae. The record is from RNAcentral.